CCUACGGGAGGCAGCAGUGAGGAAUAUUGGUCAAUGGACGAGAGUCUGAACCAGCCAAGUAGCGUGAAGGAUGACUGCCCUAUGGGUUGUAAACUUCUUUUAUAUGGGAAUAAAAUGUUCCACGUGUGGGCUUUUGUGUGUACCAUAUGAAUAAGGAUCGGCUAACUCCGUGCCAGCAGCCGCGGUAAUACGGAGGAUCCGAGCGUUAUCCGGAUUUAUUGGGUUUAAAGGGAGCGUAGGUGGAUUGUUAAGUCAGUUGUGAAAGUUUGCGGCUCAACCGUAAAAUUGCAGUUGAAACUGGCAGUCUUGAGUACAGUAGAGGUGGGCGGAAUUCGUGGUGUAGCGGUGAAAUGCUUAGAUAUCACGAAGAACUCCGAUUGCGAAGGCAGCUCACUGGACUGCAACUGACACUGAGGCUCGAAAGUGUGGGUAUCAAACAGGAUUAGAUACCCGUGUAGUC
RNAcentral lists this ribosomal RNA (460 nucleotides) under uncultured bacterium. RNAcentral's name for it is "partial 16S ribosomal RNA". It matches the Rfam family "Bacterial small subunit ribosomal RNA", at positions 338 to 795 of the family's 1533-position model. The record is from RNAcentral.